CAGUCGUCGCGGGAAUACGGAGGAUCCAAGCGUUAUCCGGAAUCAUUGGGUUUAAAGGGUCCGUAGGCGGUCUUGUAAGUCAGUGGUGAAAGCCCAUCGCUCAACGGUGGAACGGCCAUUGAUACUGCAGGACUUGAAUUAUUGGGAAGUAACUAGAAUAUGUAGUGUAGCGGUGAAAUGCUUAGAGAUUACAUGGAAUACCAAUUGCGAAGGCAGGUUACUACCAAUUGAUUGACGCUGAUGGACGAAAGCGUGGGUAGCGAACAGGAUUAGAUACCCCCGUAGUCCCUGUCUCUUAUAA
RNAcentral lists this ribosomal RNA (301 nucleotides) under uncultured bacterium. RNAcentral's name for it is "partial 16S ribosomal RNA". It matches the Rfam family "Bacterial small subunit ribosomal RNA", at positions 509 to 809 of the family's 1533-position model. The record is from RNAcentral.